GUGCAACUCGUCACCUGCGGUCGGACGGCGGUCAACAUUAACGGCGAGAUCGGUCCCUACUUUCCCACCCUAUGUGGGGUGCGCCAGGGUGACCCGUUCUCCCCGUUCCUUUUUAACAUGGUUGUCGAUGCCCUUGCGGUCAUCCUUGAUAAGGCCAAAGCCUGCGGCCAUAUCCGGGGCGUUGUCCCCCACCUAGUGGACGGAGGAGGGGUUUCCCUCCUCCAAUACGCGGAUGACACCAUAGUCAUGGUG
Molecule: ribosomal RNA, 252 nt
Filed under: Triticum aestivum (bread wheat)
Lineage: Eukaryota; Viridiplantae; Streptophyta; Magnoliopsida; Poales; Poaceae
Description: partial small subunit ribosomal RNA
Source: RNAcentral